RNAcentral lists this ribosomal RNA (494 nucleotides) under uncultured bacterium. RNAcentral's name for it is "partial 16S ribosomal RNA". It matches the Rfam family "Bacterial small subunit ribosomal RNA", at positions 28 to 507 of the family's 1533-position model. The record is from RNAcentral.
GACGAACGCUGGCGGCGUGCUUAACACAUGCCAGUCGAACGGUGAAGCGCCUUCCUUUUUGGUGGGUGUGGAUGAGUGGCGAACGGGUGAGUAACACGUGAGUAACCUGCCCCCUUCUUCUGGAUAACCGCAUGAAAGUGUGGCUAAUACGGGAUAUUCUGGGUCUGUCGCAUGAUGGGUCUGGGAAAGAUAUUGUUUCGGUGGGGGAUGGGCUCGCGGCCUAUCAGCUUGUUGGUGGGGUGAUGGCCUACCAAGGCGGUGACGGGUAGCCGGCCUGAGAGGGUGGACGGUCACACUGGGACUGAGACACGGCCCAGACUCCUACGAGAGGCAGCAGUGGGGAAUAUUGCACAAUGGGCGCAAGCCUGAUGCAGCGACGCCGCGUGAGGGAUGGAGGCCUUCGGGUUGUGAACCUCUUUCGCCAGUGAAGCAGGCCUGCCUCGUUUGUGGGUGGGUUGACGGUAGCUGGAUAAGAAGCGCCGGCUAACUACGUG